UACGUAGGGUGCGAGCGUUAAUCGGAAUUACUGGGCGUAAAGCGUGCGCAGGCGGUCUGUUAAGACCGAUGUGAAAUCCCCGGGCUUAACCUGGGAACUGCAUUGGUGACUGGCAGGCUUUGAGUGUGGCAGAGGGAGGUAGAAUUCCACGUGUAGCAGUGAAAUGCGUAGAGAUGUGGAGGAACACCGAUGCGAAGGCAGCCCCCCUGGGCUAACACUGACGCUCAUUGCACGAAAGC
RNAcentral lists this ribosomal RNA (239 nucleotides) under uncultured bacterium. Its description in RNAcentral is "partial 16S ribosomal RNA". It matches the Rfam family "Bacterial small subunit ribosomal RNA", at positions 524 to 760 of the family's 1533-position model. The record is from RNAcentral.